This 468-nucleotide ribosomal RNA is filed under the name uncultured bacterium. Its description in RNAcentral is "partial 16S ribosomal RNA". It matches the Rfam family "Bacterial small subunit ribosomal RNA", at positions 28 to 507 of the family's 1533-position model. The record is from RNAcentral.
GACGAACGCUGGCGGCGUGCUUAACACAUGCAAGUCGAACGGAAAGGCCCUGCUUUUGUGGGGUGCUCGAGUGGCGAACGGGUGAGUAACACGUGAGUAACCUGCCCUUGACUUUGGGAUAACUUCAGGAAACUGGGGCUAAUACCGGAUAGGCGCUCCUGCUGCAAGGUGGGGGUUGGAAAGUUUCGGCGGUUGGGGAUGGACUCGCGGCUUAUCAGCUUGUUGGUGGGGUAGUGGCUUACCAAGGCUUUGACGGGUAGCCGGCCUGAGAGGGUGACCGGCCACAUUGGGACUGAGAUACGGCCCAGACUCCUACGGGAGGCAGCAGUGGGGAAUAUUGCACAAUGGGCGGAAGCCUGAUGCAGCAACGCCGCGUGCGGGAUGACGGCCUUCGGGUUGUAAACCGCGUUCGCCUGUGACGAAGCGUGAGUGACGGUAAUGGGUAAAGAAGCACCGGCUAACUACGUG